This 496-nucleotide ribosomal RNA is filed under the name uncultured bacterium. RNAcentral's name for it is "partial 16S ribosomal RNA". It matches the Rfam family "Bacterial small subunit ribosomal RNA", at positions 29 to 507 of the family's 1533-position model. The record is from RNAcentral.
AUGCACGCUGGCGGCGUGCCUAAUCCCUGCAAGUCGAGCGAACAGACGAGGAGCUUGCUCCUCUGACGUUAGCGGCGGACGGGUGAGUAACACGUGGAUAACCUACCUAUAAGACUGGGAUAACUUCGGGAAACCGGAGCUAAUACCGGAUAAUAUAUUGAACCGCAUGGUUCAAUAGUGAAAGACGGUUUUGCUGUCACUUAUAGAUGGAUCCGCGCCGCAUUAGCUAGUUGGUAAGGUAACGGCUUACCAAGGCGACGAUGCGUAGCCGACCUGAGAGGGGGAUCGGCCACACGGGAACUGAACCACGGUCCAGACUCCUACGGGAGGAAGCAGUAGGGAAUCUUCCGCAAUGGGCGAAAGCCUGACGGAGCAACGCCGCGUGAGUGAUGAAGGUCUUCGGAUCGUAAAACUCUGUUAUUAGGGAAGAACAAAUGUGUAAGUAACUAUGCACGUCUUGACGGUACCUAAUCAGAAAGCCACGGCUAACUACGUG